GCCUGAGUAGCUCAGUGGUAGAGCAAUCGGCUGUUAACCGAUCGGUCAUAGGUUCGAACCCUAUCUCAGGCGCCA
RNAcentral lists this transfer RNA (75 nucleotides) under Bacilli bacterium. Its description in RNAcentral is "tRNA-Asn". It matches the Rfam family "tRNA". Rfam says of the family: Transfer RNA (tRNA) molecules are approximately 80 nucleotides in length. Their secondary structure includes four short double-helical elements and three loops (D, anti-codon, and T loops). Further hydrogen bonds mediate the characteristic L-shaped molecular structure. tRNAs have two regions of fundamental functional importance: the anti-codon, which is responsible for specific mRNA codon recognition, and the 3' end, to which the tRNAs corresponding amino acid is attached (by aminoacyl-tRNA synthetases). tRNAs cope with the degeneracy of the genetic code in two manners: having more than one tRNA (with a specific anti-codon) for a particular amino acid; and 'wobble' base-pairing, i.e. permitting non-standard base-pairing at the 3rd anti-codon position. The record is from RNAcentral. Lineage: Bacteria; Bacillati; Bacillota; Bacilli.